UGAGUGUGGGAGGGUUGAGGAUGGGAGGUAGGUGGUGGUUGUGUGUUGGUUCUGAGUGUGGGAGGAUGGGAGGAUGGGGGGUAGGUGGUGGUUGUCUGCUGGUUCUGAGUGUGGGAGGGUGGAGGAUGGGGGGUAGGUGGUGGUUGUCUGCUGGUUCUCAGUGUGGGAGUAUGAGUAGUAGGUGGUGGUUGUCUGCUGGUUCUGAGUGUGGGAGGGUGGAGGAUGGGGGGUAGGUGGUGGUUGUCUGCUGGUUCUCAGUGUGGGAGUAUGAGUAGUAGGUGGUGGUUGUCUGCUGGUUCUCAGUGUGGGAGUAUGAGGAGUAGGUAGUGGUUGUCUGCUG
This 340-nucleotide long non-coding RNA is filed under the name Salmo salar (Atlantic salmon). Its description in RNAcentral is "lncRNA (ENSSSAG00000108084.1)". The record is from RNAcentral. Lineage: Eukaryota; Metazoa; Chordata; Actinopteri; Salmoniformes; Salmonidae.